AUGAGUGGAACAGUCAAGACUGGAUGGAUCCCAGGCCUCCUGAUGUCCAAGCUAAUGCUUAUUCCAUCCCUGCCCCCACAUUUCCUGCUCCACAAUUGCUUCUCCAUUGCCUUUUUCACGCAUUCCCUCAGUUGUGUCCCCACUCCAAAUCAGGCAGUCAUCUUCACUGACGUCUUGUCUAGUAGACUCACUUUAGACCUCCUAAACUCAUCAAGGGCUCAAGAAGCUGGUUCCCUCUUGUCUGCUGUCAUGGAAUGCAAAUAAACACUUCGCCCGGCCAACUCUUCUUCCUUUCUAACAGCCAGCACCCAAGAACUCAAGAUCCCGAGGUAAGAAAGUACUUGGGAGGUCACCAGAUCCCCUCUCUGUCUUCAGGUAAAACUGUGCCCAAACUGGUUCCAACUACUUGAAGUGGUCUUCAAGAGCCAGAGAUCAGAUCAUCUCUUCCAAUGUCUCCCUAAGACGCCUCACACAGGCCCUUAUCAUGUCACUUGUUCAUUGAUUCCUUUCUGUUUCUGUGACCCUCAGCCCAUGUUAAAUCAAGUCAUGAGCUCAUCCUGAAGAAAAACUGUAGCCAGUGGGAAUGGCUAAGGUCAGGCUAGAGCCAAGAGGAUAGCCUAAAUGACCUCAGCAAAGCUCAGCAGAUGCCAGGAGUUCAGACUCUGGCAGCAAAUUCAUUCCUGGCCAGUAUCCUUCUUUCUCUUCCUCCCCGAACCAGAUAUCCCCCUCUAGACAACUGUGUCCUCCUCAGUGAAAAAGCUGUGUCCAGAAUGCCACUAACUUGCCCACACCCAAGUAGGACACCUGAGGCAGAAGGGAAAUAUGUAGUCAGGCUCAAAGAAACUUGUUAGAAAAAGGAGGGAAUUUUUUCCCCUCAAGGCUAUAUGUAUUCCCUCAGUCCUAUAAAUAACCCAUUUCAGAUAAAGCAAGUGUUGGGAAUAUCACAGACACUGAAUCCUAAAUAUCAUGCUUCUUUCCUUUACCUUCCACUUACUUACUCCUUUUACCAACAUACCUCCCACCUGUAAUUUACUUCCAGUGGAAAGUAGCACCUGAAAACAAGGGAAGCAUAUUGGAUGGCUGCCAUUUGCUAAUGGUUCUUUAGGGGACUCCUCCCCUGGCUCUCUGACCAGAGAAAACUCUCCAUCUGAGAAAUAAAGAAGUUCUACAUGUUCA
This 1176-nucleotide long non-coding RNA is filed under the name Vulpes vulpes (red fox). Its description in RNAcentral is "lncRNA (ENSVVUG00000007297.1)". The record is from RNAcentral. Lineage: Eukaryota; Metazoa; Chordata; Mammalia; Carnivora; Canidae.